Vidua macroura (Pin-tailed whydah) is the source of this 663-nucleotide long non-coding RNA. RefSeq lists it as uncharacterized. The transcript has 3 exons. Lineage: Eukaryota; Metazoa; Chordata; Aves; Passeriformes; Viduidae. The record is from RefSeq and is a predicted model, not a curated record.
GCUCCAUCAGGGAGUGUAGCUGAACUGCCCCGCGCAUGCGCUCUUCGGCACCGCCGCGCCGCGUCUCUGUAUCUUAGUAAAGCCGCACCGCGCUUCACACAUACACACACACACACACACACACAAGCACGCACGUCCGGAUGUAACAGACACACCACACCGAAACUGGGGCACACCACACUGCAAUCGGGACACAACACACUGAAAUCGCGAUUUCUCCCUCCCCGAGCCGCGCUAUCAGCUGGGGAGGUCCUCUUGCCUUUUCCUAGUCUGGAUUCUAGUUACCCGCUGGUUAUUGCCCUGGAGCUCAACAUUCACCUCAUUCUCACCUCAUCCCCCUCCGAACCGGGGCAGAGGGACGUUGUGGUGAAUGCGGAGCCCGUCGCCGGGUGUGGGAAACGCACUACUAUGAGGUCCACACUCACGUCGUCUCACAGAGAUGUCUCACUCAUCACACUCCGGGAUCCCAACCCCGACAGAGCGGGCCCCGCUGCCUCCGAACGGGGCAACCUCAGUAGCCCCGAAGGACCACUGAAAGGGCACACUCAAUUUGCUGCCUCGUGGAAUAACAAUAAUAUUGUUUUGCACACAUUCCCCAAGAUCAAGUCCAAAGUAGUGAGUUAAAGGGACUCCUUUGAUCCGUUUCGCCACGAUUAAAACAAA